This 429-nucleotide ribosomal RNA is filed under the name Escherichia coli. Its description in RNAcentral is "bacterial LSU rRNA". It matches the Rfam family "Bacterial large subunit ribosomal RNA", at positions 1 to 460 of the family's 2925-position model. The record is from RNAcentral. Lineage: Bacteria; Pseudomonadati; Pseudomonadota; Gammaproteobacteria; Enterobacterales; Enterobacteriaceae.
GGGUUGUGAGGUUAAGCGACUAAGCGUACACGGUGGAUGCCCUGGCAGUCAGAGGCGAUGAAGGACGUGCUAAUCUGCGAUAAGCGUCGGUAAGGUGAUAUGAACCGUUAUAACCGGCGAUUUCCGAAUGGGGAAACCCAGUGUGUUUCGACACACUAUCAUUAACUGAAUCCAUAGGUUAAUGAGGCGAACCGGGGGAACUGAAACAUCUAAGUACCCCGAGGAAAAGAAAUCAACCGAGAUUCCCCCAGUAGCGGCGAGCGAACGGGGAGCAGCCCAGAGCCUGAAUCAGUGUGUGUGUUAGUGGAAGCGUCUGGAAAGGCGCGCGAUACAGGGUGACAGCCCCGUACACAAAAAUGCACAUGCUGUGAGCUCGAUGAGUAGGGCGGGACACGUGGUAUCCUGUCUGAAUAUGGGGGGACCAUCCUC